RNAcentral lists this ribosomal RNA (481 nucleotides) under uncultured bacterium. RNAcentral's name for it is "bacterial SSU rRNA". It matches the Rfam family "Bacterial small subunit ribosomal RNA", at positions 35 to 507 of the family's 1533-position model. The record is from RNAcentral.
GCUGGCGGCAGGCCUAACACAUGCAAGUCGAGCGGUAACAUUUCUAGCUUGCUAGAAGAUGACGAGCGGCGGACGGGUGAGUAACGCGUAGAAAUCUACCUAGUAGUGGGGGAUAGCCCAGAGAAAUUUGGAUUAAUACCGCAUACGCCCUACGGGGGAAAGCGGGGGAUCUUCGGACCUCGUGCUAUUAGAUGAGUCUGCGUCGGAUUAGCUUGUUGGUGAGGUAAUGGCUCACCAAGGCGACGAUCCGUAGCUGGUCUGAGAGGAUGACCAGCCACACUGGAACUGAGACACGGUCCAGACUCCUACGGGAGGCAGCAGUGGGGAAUAUUGCACAAUGGGCGCAAGCCUGAUGCAGCCAUGCCGCGUGUGUGAGGAAGGCCUUAGGGUUGUAAAGCACUUUCAGCAGUGAGGAAAGGGGUGUCGUUAAUAGCGCCAUCCUGUGACGUUAACUGCAGAAGAAGGACCGGCUAACUCCGUG